This 254-nucleotide ribosomal RNA is filed under the name uncultured bacterium. RNAcentral describes it as "partial 16S ribosomal RNA". It matches the Rfam family "Bacterial small subunit ribosomal RNA", at positions 524 to 776 of the family's 1533-position model. The record is from RNAcentral.
UACGAGGGAUGCAAGCGUUAUCCGGAAUUAUUGGGCGUAAAGCGUUUGUAGGCGGGCGAGUGUGUUUAAUGUUAAAUCUUAAAGCUCAACUUUGAAAUUGCGUUAAAAACUGCUUGUCUCGAGUAUGGUAGGGGUAAAGGGAAUUCCCAGUGUAGCGGUGAAAUGUGUAGAUAUUGGGAAGAACACUAAACAGCGAAGGCACUUUACUAGGCUAAUACUGACGAUGAGAAACGAAAGGUAAGGUAGCGAAACGG